Molecule: ribosomal RNA, 222 nt
Filed under: Chloropicon laureae
Lineage: Eukaryota; Viridiplantae; Chlorophyta; Chloropicophyceae; Chloropicales; Chloropicaceae
Description: partial Bacterial large subunit ribosomal RNA
Rfam family: Bacterial large subunit ribosomal RNA
Source: RNAcentral
GAAAGACCCCGUGAACCUUUACUAUAGCUUCACAGUGAACUUUGAGCAUGUUUGUGUAGGAUAGCUGGGAGGCUUUGAAACCAUCACGCCAGUGAUGGUGGAGCCAACCUUGAAAUACCAGCCUGACCUGUUUGAGGUUCUAACUUCGACCCCUUAUCGGGGUUAAGGACACUGUGUGGUGGGUAGUUUGACUGGGGCGGGCUCCUCCUAAAAGGUAACGGA